This 62-nucleotide non-coding RNA is filed under the name Bacilli bacterium VT-13-104. Its description in RNAcentral is "Fluoride riboswitch aptamer (crcB RNA motif)". It matches the Rfam family "Fluoride riboswitch aptamer (crcB RNA motif)". Lineage: Bacteria; Bacillati; Bacillota; Bacilli. RNAcentral also lists the same sequence under 1 other name. The record is from Rfam by way of RNAcentral.
UUCUAAAUAGACGAUGGAGUUCGCCAUUAACCGUCUUUUCGACUAAUCACUCCUGCCAGUUU